CCUACGGGAGGCAGCAGUAGGGAAUCUUCCGCAAUGGACGAAAGUCUGACGGAGCAACGCCGCGUGAACGAUGAAGGCCUUCGGGUCGUAAAGUUCUGUUGUUAGGGAAGAACAAGUGCUAGUUAAAUAAGCUGGCACCUUGACGGUACCUAACCAGAAAGCCACGGCUAACUACGUGCCAGCAGCCGCGGUAAUACGUAGGUGGCAAGCGUUGUCCGGAAUUAUUGGGCGUAAAGCGCGCGCAGGCGGUUUCUUAAGUCUGAUGUGAAAGCCCCCGGCUCAACCGGGGAGGGUCAUUGGAAACUGGGAAACUUGAGUGCAGAAGAGGAAAGUGGAAUUCCAAGUGUAGCGGUGAAAUGCGUAGAGAUUUGGAGGAACACCAGUGGCGAAGGCGACUUUCUGGUCUGUAACUGACGCUGAGGCGCGAAAGCGUGGGGAGCAAACAGGAUUAGAUACCCUGGUAGUCCACGCUGUAAACGAUGAGUGCUAAGUGUUAGAGGGUUUCCGCCCUUUAGUGCUGAAGUUAACGCAUUAAGCACUCCGCCUGGGGAGUACGGUCGCAAGCUGAAACUCAAAGGAUUGACGGCUGNGNGNGCGAGACGACACGAGGGAGUAGG
RNAcentral lists this ribosomal RNA (617 nucleotides) under uncultured bacterium. Its description in RNAcentral is "bacterial SSU rRNA". It matches the Rfam family "Bacterial small subunit ribosomal RNA", at positions 338 to 951 of the family's 1533-position model. The record is from RNAcentral.